RNAcentral lists this ribosomal RNA (634 nucleotides) under uncultured bacterium. RNAcentral describes it as "bacterial SSU rRNA". It matches the Rfam family "Bacterial small subunit ribosomal RNA", at positions 11 to 607 of the family's 1533-position model. The record is from RNAcentral.
GUUUGAUCCUGGCUCAGGAUGAACGCUGGCGGCGUGCCUAAUACAUGCAAGUCGAACGCGCUGUGGCAAUUAUUGAGAAGCUUGCUUCAAUUUAAUUGCAAUGCAGCGAGUGGCGAACGGGUGAGUAACACGUGGGAAACCUACCUCUUAGCAGGGGAUAACAUUUGGAAACAGAUGCUAAUACCGUAUAACAACUUUUAUCGCAUGAUAAAAGUUUAAAAGAUGGUUCUGCUAUCACUAAGAGAUGGUCCCGCGGUGUAUUAGCUAGAUGGUGAGGUAAUGGCUCACCAUGGCGAUGAUACAUAGCCGAGUUGAGAGACUGAUCGGCCACAUUGGAACUGAGACACGGUCCAAACUCCUACGGGAGGCAGCAGUAGGGAAUCUUCCACAAUGGACGAAAGUCUGAUGGAGCAACGCCGCGUGUGUGAUGAAGGGUUUCGGCUCGUAAAACACUGUUAUAAGAGAAGAACGUCAGUGAGAGUAACUAUUUACUGAGUGACGGUAUCUUAUCAGAAAGGGACGGCUAAAUACGUGCCAGCAGCCGCGGUAAUACGUAUGUCCCAAGCGUUAUCCGGAUUUAUUGGGCGUAAAGCGAGCGCAGGCGGUUAUUUAAGUCUGAUGUGAAAGCCUACGG